CCUGCUGACAUUUGGAGUUCAGCAUGUAUGGCCUUUGAGCUGGCUACAGGUGACUCCUUGCUUGAACCCCUUUCAGGGAAAGAGCACACUCAAGAUGAAGAUCACAUUGCAUUGAUCACAGAACUUCUGGGGAAGGUGACUCACAAGCUCACUGUGCCAGGGAAGCAUUCCAAGGAAUUUUUCACCAAAAAUGUGACCUGAAACACAUCACAAAGCUGAAAACCUUGGGUUUUUUUGAGGUUCUACUGGAGAAGUAUGAGUGUUUCUCAGGAAGAGGCAGCUGGCUUCACAGAUUUCUUACUGCCCAUGGUGAAGCUGAUCCCUGAGAAGAGAGCCAUUUCUGCCAAGUGUCUCUGGUGCCUUUGGCUCAACUCCUAA
This 378-nucleotide long non-coding RNA is filed under the name Homo sapiens (human). RNAcentral's name for it is "non-protein coding lnc-SOCS6-15:1". The record is from RNAcentral. Lineage: Eukaryota; Metazoa; Chordata; Mammalia; Primates; Hominidae.